UACGGGGGGGGCAAGCGUUGUUCGGAAUGACUGGGCGUAAAGGGCGCGUAGGCGGUAUUUUAAGUGAGGCGUGAAAGCCCCGGGCUUAACCCGGGAGGUGCGUUUCAUACUGGAAUGCUAGAGUGCGAGAGAGGAAAGUGGAAUUCCUAGUGUAGAGGUGAAAUUCGUAGAUAUUAGGAAGAACACCAGAGGCGAAGGCGGCUUUCUGGCUCGCAACUGACGCUGAGGCGCGAAAGCGUGGGGAGCAAACAGG
Molecule: ribosomal RNA, 253 nt
Filed under: uncultured bacterium
Lineage: Bacteria
Description: partial 16S ribosomal RNA
Rfam family: Bacterial small subunit ribosomal RNA
Source: RNAcentral